RNAcentral lists this ribosomal RNA (319 nucleotides) under uncultured bacterium. RNAcentral's name for it is "bacterial SSU rRNA". It matches the Rfam family "Bacterial small subunit ribosomal RNA", at positions 28 to 334 of the family's 1533-position model. The record is from RNAcentral.
GAUGAACGCUAGCGACAGGCUUAACACAUGCAAGUCGAGGGGCAGCGGUGGUGAAGGCUUGCCUUUACCAGCCGGCGACCGGCGCACGGGUGAGUAACACGUAUGCAACCUGCCUGCCACAGCCGGAUAAUCGGGAGAAAUCCCGUCUAAUACGGCAUAAUGCAUCGACGGGACAUCCUGUUGGUGCCAAAGGUUGAUUCCGGUGGCGGAUGGGCAUGCGUCGCAUUAGUUAGUUGGCGGUGUAACGGACCACCAAGACGACGAUGCGUAGGGGUUCUGAGAGGAAGGUCCCCCACACUGGUACUGAGACACGGCCCAA